RNAcentral lists this ribosomal RNA (443 nucleotides) under uncultured bacterium. RNAcentral's name for it is "partial 16S ribosomal RNA". It matches the Rfam family "Bacterial small subunit ribosomal RNA", at positions 338 to 795 of the family's 1533-position model. The record is from RNAcentral.
CCUACGGGUGGCAGCAGUGGGGAAUAUUGGGCAAUGGGCGCAAGCCUGACCCAGCAACGCCGCGUGAAGGAAGAAGGCUCUCGGGUUGUAAACUUCUUUUCUCAGGGACGAAGCAAGUGACGGUACCUGAUGAAUAAGCCACGGCUAACUACGUGCCAGCAGCCGCGGUAAUACGUAGGUGACAAGCGUUAUCCGGAUUUACUGGGUGUAAAGGGCGUGUAGGCGGGAAAGCAAGUCAGAUGUGAAAACCAUGGGCUCAACCUGUGGCCUGCAUUUGAAACUGUUCUUCUUGAGUGAUGGAGAGGCAGACGGAAUUCCGGGUGUAGCGGUGAAAUGCGUAGAUAUUAGGAGGAACACCAGUGGCGAAGGCGGUCUGCUGGACAGCAACUGACGCUGAGGCGCGAAAGCGUGGGGAGCAAACAGGAUUAGAUACCCCUGUAGUC